Motacilla alba alba is the source of this 1129-nucleotide long non-coding RNA. RefSeq lists it as uncharacterized. The transcript has 9 exons. Lineage: Eukaryota; Metazoa; Chordata; Aves; Passeriformes; Motacillidae. The record is from RefSeq and is a predicted model, not a curated record.
AUUGUCGAUAAAUGCAGUAAACAACAGGCUGCUUUCUCUCAGAAGAAGUUAUAUGAAGUUGUCAUCCAUUUGACGUUGUGUACUGCAUUCUCCUUCAUCUUCUAUCAGAUUCUGCCAAGAUGUGCAGUAGUUUGGUCUUUCCACCCUCAUGGCAGAGUAAGAAGGAAUGCGAGCUCCUUCCCUAGGGCCUGUAUCUCCUCCAAGCCCACAGCCUGGCUCUGCACACAGGAAAAUGUGUGAAUGCUGUAACUCUGUCUCCUCCACUUCCAAAGCAGAAGAAUGGAAUCAACUGAGAUGAAGAAAAAUAAAAGAAGAAAAAAAGAGUGUUUACAGGGGAGACUUUGCAGCCAGAAGGAAGAUGGGUGCAAGGCCCUGCCUACGAAUGGGGAUCACUGCUUCUUUAAAGGACUAUUACCUGCAAUCUCUGCUCCCUCCAGCUGUAGACAAAGGCUGUCCUUGAUCUCCCCAGCUUGUUCAGCACCACAUGCUAACCAGGCACACCUGGAUCCACUGCUGAGUUUUUAGGUGUCAGAAAAUCCUGGAACCAAGAACCUCCAAUCACGUUUCAUCCUCUGGUUUCCCUGAAACUUUUAGUUACACCUUGAAGUUACUGGAAUACAUGUUCUGUUCAAGGUGAGCCCCACUUCCAAGCAACUUCUGUAGUAGCCAGUGCCUCAUGUCACCACUUUACUGCCACCUACUCAGACAUCUCUGUGGGAGGUUUGUGUAACCAUAUAUAAACUUUUCAUGGAGAUCAGCUGAGACCUCAUGGCAGAGAUGUCAUUUGAACCAACUGGAAAUUACUUCGCCCCACAACACAACAGAUACCUUCUACUCCUUCCACAGCCCUGCUGAGCUCCUGAAGAUGCCUGGAAGAAUUUGCUGCAUUUCUGGCCCCAGAGGCUGUUAUGGAGAACACCAGUUGAGUUGGAUCGAAACAGAAGGACCCAUUUCAUCACUAACCACGUCUAAAUUACUUAAUUUCUUGGCUGGAUGGCAGAGAAAUAUCUUUACAAAACUGGUAAAUGACCAUGACUACCUCUCCAAAAAAUGAUCUCCUAAGAGUAAUUCAGAUGCUGUAAGAGAAAUGUACUCUCACAAAAAGCAGCUUUUCCAAACCCCUGUCGUC